RNAcentral lists this ribosomal RNA (465 nucleotides) under uncultured bacterium. RNAcentral's name for it is "partial 16S ribosomal RNA". It matches the Rfam family "Bacterial small subunit ribosomal RNA", at positions 28 to 507 of the family's 1533-position model. The record is from RNAcentral.
GACGAACGCUGGCGGCGUGCUUAACACAUGCAAGUCGAACGGAGAGGCCCCUUUGGGGGUACUCGAGUGGCGCACGGGUGAGUAACACGUGAGUAACCUGCCCUUGACUUCGGGAUAACUUCAGGAAACUGGGGCUAAUACCGGAUAGGAAUCCUUGCUGCAUGGUGGGGGUUGGAAAGCUUCGGCGGUUUUGGAUGGACUCGCGGCUUAUCAGCUUGUUGGUGGGGUAGUGGCUUACCAAGGCUUUGACGGGUAGCCGGCCUGAGAGGGCGACCGGCCACAUUGGGACUGAGAUACGGCCCAGACUCCUACGGGAGGCAGCAGUGGGGAAUAUUGCACAAUGGGCGGAAGCCUGAUGCAGCAACGCCGCGUGCGGGAUGACGGCCUUCGGGUUGUAAACCGCUUUCAGCAGGGGCGAAGCUUGUGGUGACGGUACCUGCAGAAGAAGCACCGGCUAACUACGUG